RNAcentral lists this ribosomal RNA (247 nucleotides) under uncultured bacterium. RNAcentral's name for it is "partial 16S ribosomal RNA". It matches the Rfam family "Bacterial small subunit ribosomal RNA", at positions 111 to 353 of the family's 1533-position model. The record is from RNAcentral.
UAACACGUGGGUAACCUGCCUUAUAGUGGGGGAGUAGCCUUUCGAAAGGAAGAUUAAUACCGCAUAAGAUUGUAGUAUCGCAUGAUAUAGCAAUUAAAGGAGCAAUUCGCUAUAAGAUGGACCCGCGUCGCAUUAGCUAGUAGGUGGGGUAACGGCUCACCUAGGCGACGAUCCCUAGCUGGUCUGAGAGGAUGACCAGCCACACUGGAACUGAGACACGGUCCAGACUCCUACGGGAGGCAGCAUG